AGCGGGUAUAGUUUAGUGGUAAAAGUGUGACCUUCCAAGCUACUGAUGCGGGUUCGAUUCCCGCUACCCGCUA
RNAcentral lists this transfer RNA (73 nucleotides) under Drynaria acuminata. RNAcentral's name for it is "tRNA-Gly". It matches the Rfam family "tRNA". Rfam says of the family: Transfer RNA (tRNA) molecules are approximately 80 nucleotides in length. Their secondary structure includes four short double-helical elements and three loops (D, anti-codon, and T loops). Further hydrogen bonds mediate the characteristic L-shaped molecular structure. tRNAs have two regions of fundamental functional importance: the anti-codon, which is responsible for specific mRNA codon recognition, and the 3' end, to which the tRNAs corresponding amino acid is attached (by aminoacyl-tRNA synthetases). tRNAs cope with the degeneracy of the genetic code in two manners: having more than one tRNA (with a specific anti-codon) for a particular amino acid; and 'wobble' base-pairing, i.e. permitting non-standard base-pairing at the 3rd anti-codon position. Lineage: Eukaryota; Viridiplantae; Streptophyta; Polypodiopsida; Polypodiales; Polypodiaceae. The record is from RNAcentral.